AUUGAACGCUGGCGGCAGGCCUAACACAUGCAAGUCGAACGGUAACAGGAAACAGCUUGCUGUUUCGCUGACGAGUGGCGGACGGGUGAGUAAUGUCUGGGAAACUGCCUGAUGGAGGGGGAUAACUACUGGAAACGGUAGCUAAUACCGCAUAACGUCGCAAGACCAAAGAGGGGGACCCUCGGGCCUCUUGCCAUCGGCUGUGCCCAGAUGGGAUUAGCGUGUUGGUGGGGUAACGGCUCACCAAGGCGACGAUCCCUAGCUGGUCUGAGAGGAUGACCAGCCACACUGGAACUGAGACACGGUCCAGACUCCUACGGGAGGCAGCAGUGGGGAAUAUUGCACAAUGGGCGCAAGCCUGAUGCAGCCAUGCCGCGUGUAUGAAGAAGGCCUUCGGGUUGUAAAGUACUUUCAGCGGGGAGGAAGGGAGUAAAGUUAAUACCUUUGCUCAUUGACGUUACCCGCAGAAGAAGCACCGGCUAACUCCGUG
This 490-nucleotide ribosomal RNA is filed under the name uncultured bacterium. RNAcentral describes it as "partial 16S ribosomal RNA". It matches the Rfam family "Bacterial small subunit ribosomal RNA", at positions 30 to 507 of the family's 1533-position model. The record is from RNAcentral.